RNAcentral lists this non-coding RNA (21 nucleotides) under Arabidopsis thaliana (thale cress). The record is from RNAcentral. Lineage: Eukaryota; Viridiplantae; Streptophyta; Magnoliopsida; Brassicales; Brassicaceae.
UACUUGGCAACUAGCGGGUAC